Long non-coding RNA from Grammomys surdaster, 459 nucleotides. RefSeq lists it as uncharacterized. The record is from RefSeq and is a predicted model, not a curated record. NCBI's taxonomy places the organism in Eukaryota, Metazoa, Chordata, Mammalia, Rodentia, Muridae. The transcript has 3 exons.
GCGGCGCGCAGCAUGGUGUGCCUGGAAGCUGGGGUUUGGGAGGUAGUUGGCGUGGGAUCUAGGUUGUCCGCGGCAGCCUUUCGCCUACGCCCCCUUCCCUGAAAAUAGGGAGAUGGCGCGGACUCGGUGGCCGUGUGAGGAGCACGGCUCGCGGGACCCCGGGUGAAGCAGGUCGGUGUGGAAGCCGAGCGCCGUUUGGGCUGUAGAUCUUCGCCAUGUGCCCAGGCGCACAACGGGGCAGAAAUGGAGCGGACAUCCAAGUCACAAGGUGAGUGCCUGAAGCUGACGGAUACUUCCUGAACAACACGCGGGAGCACAAAGUGGCUUAAGGAUGUCCUUGAUUUGGAAAUUUGAUCUUUAGAAGCAUGAGCCAUUUAAGUUUUGUGGGAAGCUGGUCAAAACUCCACAUAGGUGAAUGCACAUUUGUAACAAGGCUAUGAAUAAAUACUUUGAUACUAU